UACGAGUGCCUCAAGCGUUAUCCGGAAUCAUUGGGCGUAAAGGGUGUGUAGGUGGUUUUAUUAGUCUUUUGUUAAAUUCUUCGGCUUAACCGGGGGCAUGCAAAGGAAACGGUAAAACUUGAGGAUGCGAGGGGUCUGUGGAACUCAUAGUGUAGCGGUAAAAUGCGUUGAUAUUAUGGGGAACACCAAAAGCGAAGGCAGCAGACUGGAGCGCUCCUGACACUGAAACAAGAAAGCGUGGGUCGCGAAUGGG
This 253-nucleotide ribosomal RNA is filed under the name uncultured bacterium. RNAcentral describes it as "partial 16S ribosomal RNA". It matches the Rfam family "Bacterial small subunit ribosomal RNA", at positions 524 to 776 of the family's 1533-position model. The record is from RNAcentral.